This 69-nucleotide transfer RNA is filed under the name Athalia sp. 'qingzang'. Its description in RNAcentral is "tRNA-Gln". The record is from RNAcentral. Lineage: Eukaryota; Metazoa; Arthropoda; Insecta; Hymenoptera; Athaliidae.
UUAUAAUUGGUGUAUGAUGCACAAAAAAUUUUGAUUUUUUGGGGGAUAGUUUAAUUCUAUUAUUAUAAA